AUACGGAGGGUGCAAGCGUUACUCGGAAUCACUGGGCGUAAAGCGCGCGCAGGCGGCCAUUUAAGUUGGAUGUGAAAGCCUACGGCUCAACCGUAGAACUGCAUCCAAAACUAUUUGGCUAGAGUGGGGGAGAGGAAGAUGGAAUUAGUUGUGUAGGGGUAAAAUCCGUAGAGAUAACUAGGAAUACCAAAAGCGAAGGCAAUCUUCUGGAACAUUACUGACGCUGAGGCGCGAAAGCGUGGGGAGCAAACAGGAUUAGAAACCCCAGUAGUCC
Molecule: ribosomal RNA, 274 nt
Filed under: uncultured bacterium
Lineage: Bacteria
Description: partial 16S ribosomal RNA
Rfam family: Bacterial small subunit ribosomal RNA
Source: RNAcentral